CUCAGCAGUAGACAAAUGCCUAGGUUGCACUGUACCUAGGCAAGUGUUACACUGCUGGGAGAAAAACAGCUAAUAGCUGGCACGCAUUCUGGGCGUGGUUAAUGCCAAACUUGUGUUAACUAUACAGUGUGCCAGCACAGUUGCCUUUUUCUUUUAAAGGCAUGUGGGUGGCAGACAUG
Ochotona princeps (American pika) is the source of this 179-nucleotide small nucleolar RNA. Its record names the gene SNORA74. It matches the Rfam family "Small nucleolar RNA SNORA74". From Rfam's summary of the family: U19 belongs to the H/ACA class of snoRNAs. snoRNAs bind a number of proteins (including dyskerin, Gar1p and Nop10p in the case of the H/ACA class) to form snoRNP complexes. NCBI's taxonomy places the organism in Eukaryota, Metazoa, Chordata, Mammalia, Lagomorpha, Ochotonidae. The record is from Ensembl.